Molecule: long non-coding RNA, 589 nt
Organism: Notolabrus celidotus (New Zealand spotty)
Lineage: Eukaryota; Metazoa; Chordata; Actinopteri; Labriformes; Labridae
Exons: 3
Source: RefSeq, a predicted model, not a curated record
GCUCCAAAUCAUAAAGGAGGGAAAACACAAAGGCAAGAAGUGAGGCAUCCCAAGAGGGAGCCUCUUACUCUUUGAGUCCUCCAUAAUAAGAAAGUGGAGGAGGGUCCAGCUGGGCAAUGCAUUAGUAAAUCAACCUAAACACUGUCUGUGUGUCUCACAGCUCUCACUGCUGGACCAGCAAAGUCACGACGCUCUGCUCUGCGUCAUAUCACAGUCUGAUUUAUAUCAGCGCUGAGGUGUUAGCACUCCAGUAAAUUUCCUUCAUUAUUGGGAAAUGCUGAAAAAAUGAAACACACGUGCAUGCUCAAUAAACUGAACAGCUGAUGUAACCCGAUGGAGAGCAACAUCUGCUGGCCUGAGGAGGUCUCACAGGUGCUUAAGAACGCGUGGCUUUUUAAUGGAUGUCGACUGUAAUCCUGCGUGUGUGACAUAUUGAUGAUUCUACAUCUGAUGGUGAUAACCCAGCAUCAGCAGUUAUCCUUUUGCUGGUUUCUUCCUCUUAACCUUUCCAUCCCUCUUGCACUGUCAGCUGAUGGAGUGAUUCAAAGUAUGGAGUGGAGAGAAAAUUCCCUGCGCCCUUGAAUGUAUA